Molecule: transfer RNA, 76 nt
Filed under: Rhodobacterales bacterium
Lineage: Bacteria; Pseudomonadati; Pseudomonadota; Alphaproteobacteria; Rhodobacterales
Description: tRNA-Lys
Rfam family: tRNA
About the family: Transfer RNA (tRNA) molecules are approximately 80 nucleotides in length.
Source: RNAcentral
GGGCCGUUAGCUCAGUUGGUAGAGCAGCUGACUCUUAAUCAGCGGGUCACAGGUUCAAGCCCUGUACGGCUCACCA